AAUUUACCAAAUUUAGAAAGCAAUGAGAGCUCCAAGAACCAAAAGCGAAAUGGAAAACAAACCCAUGUUUCCUCCAAUCCCAGUCCUCAAAGACCCACUACCGCCGCCAGUGGUGUUAGUGGUGGAGCCACCGCCCGUGGUGGUGUUGGUAGUGGAAUUAGCUACCAAGGGCAAGGUCUCAUAGGACCUGAGAUUGGCGGGGGAGAAGUCAUGCUUUUCAGGGAAACCGGUGGUGGUGUUGACUCCGGGGCCCACCUGCCAGACGUGGUUGACGGACACCGCGUCUUUUUUGACCUUGACGGUGGCGAAGAUCAUGAAGGUGCCGCUGGAGAACUCGGCGCUGACGUCCCAGACGUCGAACGAGAGCUUUCCGGGAAUGAUGGAGGCGUAGGAG
RNAcentral lists this long non-coding RNA (394 nucleotides) under Malus domestica (apple). Its description in RNAcentral is "long non-coding RNA (MDOM_LNC004966)". The record is from RNAcentral. Lineage: Eukaryota; Viridiplantae; Streptophyta; Magnoliopsida; Rosales; Rosaceae.